Molecule: long non-coding RNA, 12276 nt
Organism: Ostrea edulis (European flat oyster)
Lineage: Eukaryota; Metazoa; Mollusca; Bivalvia; Ostreida; Ostreidae
Exons: 2
Source: RefSeq, a predicted model, not a curated record
AAGAAAAUCAUAGUAAAUAACUUACAAAAAAGGAGUUGGGGGUGAAAAUAUCAAUGAUCGAUUUGUAAAUUUUGAUUAAAUAAUUUCUGGGAUGUAUUUAAGUCACGAUAUAUGAAAUGUAAUCUCUCUGCAUCACCUCUUAAUUGAUAUUUAAAAUUUAAUAAUUACUCCCACUAAUGAAAAUUGAUAUAGCAACACCUUGGAUCAGCUGUGAUUUAUAAGAUCUUCACCUUCAGUAAAUGUACCAAAUACUACAAGCAUAUGGCAUUAAAUUGGAUGGAUGGGGGGUAUAUGUUCUCCAUGUAAAGGGAGGGUAAGCAAAACAAGCACUACAAGGGGGAGUAAAUCAUGGCAGACUUCACCUAAAGUUCACAAAUAAUAGCUAAUAAAACCUAAACAGGAUUAAGCCAAAGUGUUGAAUCCCACGCCAAUUGUUUACAAUUGGGUUGAUAAGCAAAAGAAACAGGAAAAUAUAGCAGUGUGGGCUAUACUUGUUGAAAGCUCUCUUGAAAUAAUGAUAUAUGGCCUUAAUUUAAAGGGUAUAUUGUGACUUACAAUUUUCACAUAAAAUGCUACAUUAAUAUUCUUUCCCCUAUUCAGUGCUUUAUAAAAUUAAUUUGAUAAAGUGGUGACUGAGGUGCAGGCCUUGUAUAAAAUGGUACUUUAAUUCUGAAAUUGUGAGCACCUGAAAUAGUUUGGCUAAAUAUGCCCGUUCUAAUUUAUCUUAUAAUAAGACUGUGUCGUCUUUGCUUCAAAUAAUCAAUACACAAACACCUUAACACUUACAGAUUAUACAUAUUUAAUGCAAGGGACUGUUUACACUUCAAAGAUGAAAGAAUUACAGAAAAAUUCAAUACACUUUUAAUACACGAGUAAACUUGAACACUGAAAAAUUUACGUCUUUCCCUCCUUGAUAUGUGCAAAAAGACAUUAGUUUGUCGGCUUUGUAAACAGUGGGCAGUGUCAGUAUAUAAAAUUGUCUCCGUGGAUGUAGCCUUCACAUGUGAUAGUGCAGUCCUUGAAGUAUUUCUUUCAUAAUUGAAGUCAUUUUCCCUUGAGCAAUCCAGCUGUACCUAGAUUUAUUUCUGAUUACACAAAAUCUAAUACCUACCCUAAUUUCUACAUUUCCAACGACAAACUUGUGGACAUUGAGGGGUAACACCCCCUCCCCAUUCAAAAGGAGGAAACAUUUUGUGACCUAUGAAAUCUGAAUUAUGGGGCCUCACAUCAUCUCUAUGGAUUAUACAUGUAUAUGACUAAUUUAAUUAUGAACAAUCAAAUCAUUAACAUUCAGGAAAUCAGACAUGUGGAACAGGAAGGGCUCAGGACAGAUGAUGGACCAGACUUGGAUUUGAACCUCCUGGGUCCGAUUAAACUGUCAGCCCUCAGGUGCUUUGCAAACCCAGAUGACACCAGCAAUAAAACCUCACCUGAUUGCCACAUUCCUCAUAUCUUCACACCCUACAGUAUCAACCCAGGGUCUGUUCCCUCUCUCAAUGUUCCAUUAUUCUGGGAACAAGACAGGCUUACAAUGAGCACCAAGUGUAAAGGAGAAAUUGUUAUGGGCUAGACAGCCGGUAUUCAGAUCAUGUGAUUAAAACUAUAUUCAUCUAGUCAUAUGUUCAACUGCAGAGCUUGAUGAUUUGAUCGAAAAUCAUGAAAUUAAAACCAAAUAUAAAAAAGAAAUAUUGCAAUCAAUUGAAAUUAAAACUUAAGAUUAUCACCAUGACUGACUGACACAAAUCAACAUCACAAUGCAGACUAUUUUUGGACAAUCCGAUAAAUAUGUUCAUUGUGCCAGAGGAUGACAUGAAUAGCCACAUGAUACAUGUGCUUCCUAUGCCAAAAUUUGACAUUGACCUGCCUAUCAGCUUCCUCUAGUACUCAGUUUUCAUUGACAUGCCUAUCAGCUUCCUCUAUAGUGCUCAGUUUUCAUUGACCGGCCUAUCAGCUUCCUCUAUAUAGUGCUCAGUUUUCAUUGACAUGCCUAUCAGCUUCUUCUAUAGUGCUCAGUUAUCAUUGACGGGCCUAUCCGCUUCCUCUGGUGCUCAGUUUUCAUUCAUCAACUGGGGCAACAAAAAUCUUUAUAAACUGGUCAAAAGUGUUUCUAUUUAUCAGUUAUUUAUAAUGUAAAAUCUGUUUCAUUGGCUUUUUUAUUUUUAAGUAUUCUAUUCUUUUCAAGGAAAACGAUGAAUUGAUCUUUUGUUUUAAGCUAGAUAACAACACACUGCUCAAGUGUAAUUGGAAAAGAUCUUAAAUCAUCGGUGUUUAUAAAACACUCAAAACCAAAUCUUGUGAUCAAUAUAGACUCAGGCAAUGUUUUUCCAGAGCAACCAGGAAUUCAUGGACAGUAUUCAGAAACUGUUGAAUGACUGUUGAAAUUUUCUUAAUAGUUUGUAAAGCACUUGAAGGAGUUAAUGUUCUUUUCAAAAAUAGUACUAGAAUUGGAAGAAAAUGUACUUAUACAUACAAGAGCAAGAAUGCUCAAACUAUGCCAAGGACCCUUAAUUAAAAUUAAGAAUUUAAGGUGGCUCAUUUCACCAAAACUUUAUUUGAUGGCUUGAUCGUGAAAACACCUCUUAAAAAGGAUGAUUGCACCAUAGACAGAGUGACACAAACAGAGAUCUCUGCAAUCAUUUCAUAUCAAUUUUUUGUGAUUUUUUUCAGAAUGAUAAAAAAGUGUUUUGUUUGCAAAUAAUUAAGAGAAUCUAGAGUCCAAAUGUCGCUGUGAUUUGAUGCAUGGUAUAUCUAACAAAACAUGCGUAAGUAACUCAAAUAGAUGUUCUAAUUUUUUUAAUUAAAAAAAUACUCAUGAAAAUCGAAAACAUUAUUUGUUAAUAUCUUUUAAACCUACAGAUGAAAUCUUCAAAAAUCAGGUCUAUUGGAAAAGAUAAAUCGGACAAAUAUCUUCUUCUUUUUUUUAAAUUGAAAUUAAAUGGUCAAAAUUAGAAAUAUUGUGAUUUUUCAAAUAUGAACCAUGCCCAUGCAAACACAAUUAUUAUAAAACUACAUUCCCUUGAGGUAAAUUGGUUUACAAAUUAAAUGAAUUUUGAUCAGGAUCGGUACUUUUUUCUCUCAUUUGGUUCAAAUCUAAAAUACAUAUUGAUAUAUUUGAAAUUUGGUCAUUUCAUUUCAAUUUCUUCUUUAAAAUGUGUUUGUCUAGAUAUAUUUUUUUUCUAACUGACAUGUUUGUUAAAAAAAUUUGAUCCAUAUAGAUUAAAAAAAUAAAAAAAUCUAAAAAAUAUCUUUUAUUAAAAAAUCUAAGAAACUAAAAAUUCUAUCUGAGUCAUUUAGGCAUGUUUUAUUAGAUAUUUGGACUCUAAAAUCUCUUAUUUGCAAACGAAACACCUUUUAUGUCAUUCUGGAAAAAAAUCACCAAAAAAAUCAUAUAAAAAUAAUUUGAGAGUUUGUAUUACUCUUUUAAUGGUGAAACCAUGCUUCAUACAAGGUGCUUAAAUGUCGAGCCAUGUAAAUAAAAUUUUAUUGUAAUGAGCCAUCUUAAAGUAAAAACGUUUAGAAAAUAAAAGUACAUUUGUACUACAGGUGUGCAAUAUUACUGGUAGAUCACGAUAUGACCCAUGAAAAGUUGAAGAUAAGGAAAAGUGAUCGAUCUCAUAACUCCUAUAAAGAAUACAAAUUAAAUUAAGAGUUGGGCAAACACAGACCCCUGGACACAGCAGAGGUGGGAUCAGGUGCCUUAGUUAAAGCAUCUCUGUCAACUGGUUACACCUGCCAAUUGAGCCAAUAUCUUGAUCAGGUAAAUGGAGUAAUCCAUAGACAAAAAUAAUAAUAAAAUAAUAUAUCACAAUAUGAAAACCAAAUACUAGUAUUUUACAAUAUGUUUACAUUGCAUAUAUAUAUAUAUAUAUAUCAAUAUUUAGAGCAUCAUUAAAACAAUGUUAAAUAAAUAGAUUGAUCCUAUAAUUGUCAAGCCUUUUUAACUAUGUCAAUGAUAAAUGUCGUAAUUAUGAUAUAGAUUUUACAUGCCAAUUAAAACCCAUAUCACAUAUGUAUGUCAUAUCCGAGUCCUCAGGGCCCCAUAUCAACCCUCAGGGUUGAUAUGAGACCACUUGGGCUCAGAUAUGGCAUUUAUGAUAUGAAUUUUUGCAUGUAAUAUUAUCUAUAAUAUAUCACAAUACUAUGAUUUUCACUGACGUUAUACCCAACUCUACAUGGUACUGUUAAAAAACUCUGCUUUUUCUUCAUUACAUAUUUACUAAUGUUAAUUAAGCUAAGAUAAAAUUAGUCGUCUCAUCAACAAAAUAAAAAGAUGUAACAUCUAAAACCGUCAUCACAAGUAACAUUGAUAACUGGAAAUCCAAGAGUGCAAAAUAAUUAAAACUAAAUAGAACCUGCCGACACAAUUAAGCCUAAGGAAGUGCAAAAAAAAAAUCAGUUUUAUUUUUUUUAUAAUCAUAUAACUAUUUUAAGUUUAAUAAAGCAGGGACACAUCCUUGGUGGUUUUAUAUGUUUCUAUUUUAUAAGCUAUCUGAGAAAAAAGUGCGUCUGGAACACAAAUUUUUCACCAGAUUCGACUAUAUUGAGAAUUCAAUAUUUCCACAUUGAGCAGUCAAACUUAAUUAAACAGCCACCACUAAGGAUGGGAUAAAAGGUAGCAACAUUUUUAUGAUCUUUUUUUCAACAAAGAAUAUUAAAGGACGUGCCACGAUGGACGAAUUAUGAAUGGCCAAUUAUCUGCACAGUGGAAGAAGUUGUUGAAAACGAUCACGAUCUUGCAUGCUAAGAACACUUUAAACAUCAGACAGUUCUUCAAGAUAAAUUGAAAAUGCUACAUCAAUUUCAUGAAGGACCAAAUACAGCAUAUAAUUGAGUCCCAGAGUUGUCGAAAAUAAGUGGUGAUUGGGGGAAAAAGAUGAAGUGAAAAGUCUUUCCUAUCUCGUUUUGUGUUGGUUGUUCUGAUCACUUUGGACUCUAUCCAGACCAAUUAAGUGAGCUGUUACUCUGCUGUUGAUGAACGUACAUCAUGAACACAUACCAGUACCAAAAUACACAACAUUCAUGGAAAUUGAUGUAAUAAUUCAGUCAUACUUAAAUAAUGUAUAGGCAUUUCAAUUGCUGAUUUUAUUUAAACUUCCUAUUUUUCUAAUCAGAUACACUUAAUUGCAAGUUUUCUACUAAAAAUUGCUAAGCAUUUAAGCAAAAUGCCAUUGGUUUCUCUUCCUAAGAAAUUUAGACAGAAGAAUGUAAACUCUUGCAGAUUGAAAAUUCAAUUUUUCUGCCUUGGAGCCACAGGUGGCUAAUCGAAAGACAUCAGGGAUUUUUCCAAUCAAAUUCUGGAGAAUCUGAUAGAAGGAAAAUCCGCCCCUAUAGCUGCAGUGAACUAGUGUCUGUUUUUUCUGCAUCUGUAGCAGUGGCCACCAGCCAAACUCCACAUCCCAGAAUAAACACUUUUUGUUUACUCAUCAGAAGAGAGGGUAAACAUUAUAAACAGUAUCUUGAUCAAAUUUAUAACAUACAUCCUAUCAUGAUAUCUGAAGUCUGUCAUUGUUAUACUACGAGGCAAUACUGUUGCCAAAGCUUGUUGGAUUUGGUUUAUGUAAUGUACACUAAGAACCAACAAACUGUCCUUCAAAAAACACUAAUCUUUAUUCAUAAUAUCAUGGAGUGUAAGUGAAUUAUACGGUUUUUUCAUAAACAGAAUAAAUAUCAAUCAAUGAAAGAUCUACCGUUUUCUAUUAGCUACCGCACACUCCAUUAUCAGAGAGAGCAGUCUGCUCUUUUCAUCUCUCUUGCAGAUUUCGACUUCCAUCUGAAACAUUGACCUUCUGUUGCAGAAAAUUAGCAGUUUACAAAUUGGUUUUUAUAUCAUCAAGAAGAAGUGUGCGCUAAAACAUCUGAAAGAUGUCUUCAACAUCAUGGGGAUAGUAUAGAGUUCCAUCAUUUGGCACCAAUGUAGUAUUUUAUUUUAACUUCCAUGGCUAAAAUGAAAAGGUGAAUAUAACCAACAGUGAUCUAUCUCAUAACUCCUAUUAGGAAUACAAAAUUAAGCGUUGGGCAAACACGGAACCCUGGACAUACCAGAGGUGGGACCAGUUGCCUAGGAGGAAUAAUUUAGCAUUGCCUGUGGACUGGUCACACUUGCUGUGAGCCCUAAAUCUUGACCACAUAAAUGGAGUAAUCCAUAGUCAAAAUCAUCAGUGUGUAAAUUAAGAACAGCCAAACAAUUGGUAUGAAACAUGUCAGACAGCUUUUCACCCAAUGACAGGUUGUAUUGUCAAAUUAGAUUGUUAUAAUGACCUUACAAAAUGCUGACUUUAAACGAGACUAUUGAAACCCCAGUAACAUCAACUUGUUUGUCAGUUGCCUGCCUUGAUUUAAAAAUUUAUCAGAUGCAGAACAGAUUUUUGUGUAUCAAUCAGUUGAGAGACAUAAACACCAUGCAUAUACAGGUGAUAAUGGCAUAUUAAAUUGCUACAUAAAUAUGGGAAGUUGACAAUGGAGAAGCUGGAGUCCCAAAGUUGAGUUGCUAGUUUGCCAUUAACAUUUAUAUGUUUAAUAAAAUAUCUACCUACAACAUAGAUGUGGAAGACUGUCUUUUAUUUUGAGUACACUGAGAUAUAUCGAAUUAACAUGAAUGAAAUUGAUUAUUGUUAAUAGAUAAAACUUCGUCAAUAUAUCUAAAUGUCGAGUUGAAGGCCACAGCAAGAGAUUUUUUCAUCUCAUGUAGAUUGAGCUUUUAAAUAAAUUCUGCCUAAAAUGAAUGUAAAAACAGGUCAGCUAAUAAAGGGGCACAAUUCAUGCCCAUGGGAAUUCCAGCAGUGUUGGAAGACCGGAUCACCAAUUAAGACUAUGAAAAUAUUGUCAAUGAGGAACUCCAGGCCAGCAACUUUUUAAUAUCAACUUCAGAGUACUUGUGUGUAGAAUCAGAGUGGUGUUUAACACAGUAUCAACAGAUCAAAGUAACAAAAUAUAUUUCUCAAGGAAUGAAAACUGAUCACUAAAAUAUUAUCUUAAAUCUACACACCUAGAACCAAAAUACUAAUAUUUCUAUUAUGCCAUUACAAUCUUUUUUUCUUUUUUUUUUUAAUGUUAACUCCGUUUUUUUUAUUCUUCCUACACAGAGGGUAGAUUCAACAAUACUAUAGUAUUUAGAUUUCCUAUGUUUUGCCAUUUCCUCAUAAAUGUGUUACAGUUCUUAACAAUGCACAUACGAAUACAGAUAAAUACAAUUCCGCUUCAUGAGACACUAUCUCGAACAUCAAUAUCUCGAAUACCAUGGAUAUGGCAAAGUGAGAAGGAAGUUAAUUUAACUAUAUUUUCUUUAUGUAUUUUAACCUUAACCAACAAACCCUCAGAUAUCUUAGCGAAGUUUUGUUUCUGCCACAUUGAGUUCAAGCUUAUGAGGUUAUCUAUAUUAUCAGCUGGGAAGUUUUACAGAAAAUGAAAGUAUAAUGUAAAUAUAAGAAAGAACUUCAUUUUUGAACUGCAGUCAAUGCUUCACACUAAUGCACUUCAUGAAGUGUGCUGGCGUGAAGUAAAACAGUUCAUAUAACCUGAACAUAUUUUCAAAAAUAAAAUCGAUUUUUUAAGAGGCAUUACUAUGAGGCUGGAAAGAUCAUAAUGAAAACUAAAAGUGUCAAAUAAGCUCAAAUUUUCCCACCAGCUCCAUGAUUCAGCAUAUUGCACGCACUGAUUGUCUGACUUAACAUGGAGCCUUCCCACUAAUAUAGAAUGUCAGUAAUAAUAUAAAAUAAGUUGGGAUAGUUUAAACUAAACAUAAACUGCUUCAAACUGUCCGAACUUAUAUUUACAUCAUAUAAAAUAUCAGUAAAAAUUUGAUCCUUUUUCAUUUCCUAGAAUUUAAUUUUUUUUAAAUGUAUUUCAUGUAAUUUUACGAAUAUAAUUUCUAAAUGAAAAUUUGGAUUUUAUAUGCAAUUAUAAUUAUUGUAGCAUGAAGCAAUAUUGUCAUAGCAACAAAAUGAAAACAGAAUUGCUAAAUGUAUUGUAUUGUUAUUUCCAUGAAUCAUAUGGUGCAACCUGAAAUUCACCCCGGCUGAGUUUAUAUAUUAUGUAUUGAUGAAGUCAAAUGAACCAUCAAAAACAAGUUUCACGAUAGUGAAAUUUCAAUAGAUGGAUAGUAUAAAUAAGGGAUUGAUUGAUUGAUUGUUUUGCUGUUUCCGCCACACUCAACAAUUUUUCAGUUAUCUGAUGGCGCCCAGUUUUUAUUGGAGGAAGAGAGAACCCAGAUACAAUGUACCUGGGAAGAGACCACCGACCUUCCGAAAGUAAACUGGGAAACUUUCUCACUUAAUGGCGCAAAUGGGAUUCGAACCCGCGCCGAUCAGAGGUGACAGGCCGUGUGAUUUUUAAGCGUGAUGCUAUAACUACUUGGCCACGGAGGCCCCUACUAUAAAUGAGGGAAGUGACUGGUACACUGGUGUAAAAGAAUGCAGAGAGCUGGUCAGAAUGAACUAUGGAUAGACAUUACACAGUGAAUAAGCAGAGAGAAUUAAUUAGGAUCAGAUAUAUAUAUACAUGUAUCAUUAUUAGGGAUGUAAUGUUUAUGGGCAUGCACUUAAAGAGUAUAUAUAGUGGAUUAUCUGGUAAUUGUGGGGUAACAUUGAGAAUGACAGAGAUCAAAGAAUAGAGACAAGCUUCAUAGUGGAUGAACUAGUCUGGCCUCUGAAUUACUUGCAAGUGGUCCUGUUCCAGGGAUCCUUAAAGUAUAGAAUAAAUGGACUAGAAGAAAGAUUUCUGCAAACCAAGCCAUGGAAUUUCCUGUUGAUUAAACUCAAACAAAGUAAAAAAAACUGGAAACCAAAACCUUGAGGUUAAAAUUACGGAAGAUUGUCAUGAGCGCAUGAUACCAUGCGGUAUUCAAUAGGGUCUGCAUCCAAAAGUUGGAUAAUUUGAUUGUUCAUUAGACUAUGAAUCUAGAUGCCUCAAUCAAAUUUAACACCAUUAUGACUCUUGCUCCUCUCUCUAACAUUACAAAGGAGAUUACAGUGCAGCUUUGAUAAUCUUCUAAAUGUAAAUACCAGUAUCUCUCUGUUACUAAUAAUGCACAAUAACCUGCACAUUCACAGGUACACACCUCUGGCAAACUGUGACUAUCCAUGUAAACACCCUGCUCAGCAGGUGCAUCACAGACUGCCUAUUUAUUUCCUGCCAGGUUACUACAAACUCACAGUGGGACUGAUAGUUUAACCUUAGAUUACCGUGUCAUUACACAGUGUAACCAUUAGCAUAAAAUGAAUUCAGGUCAGCUCACAAUUCAUAGUCACUUAACUUUACAAAUGUGAAACCUGUACAUACCAUUUUACUUACAACAAAAACCUCAGACAGAGUAAUAUGACAACAUUUACCACCUCCUCAAUUUACUGAAGAUUGGACACGUAUUUCUGAAAUUUAGUCCACUUCAACGAAUUUCAACAAAAUUUUUCUCACAAAUUCAGAUUAUUUCACCUUGUUCCAUUGAUCAAUAUUGACAAAACAUUUCUUGCAAAACUUCAAUGAAUACUUUACUUACAUUACCUGCAAUGCAAAUUUGUAUUUAUCUAAAGCAUGUAAUUGAACUUUGGUAUAAAUCUUUUUGAAAGGAUGCAAUUGAACUGAGGUAUAAAUCUUCAUGUUCAGGACCCAAAACAGUACAGUAUAUGUUUAUAAAUAAUUAUACCCCAUACCUGGUGUUGCAGACAAUCUGAAUGUUAUCAAUAUAAAAUGAUAAUCUUAUCUCUUUUCAGGAAGAGGGAAGAGUUAGAUGAAGAAUUGGUCACUGGUAACACAACUUUACAAACUGGGAGGGGUAGGGGUAGGAAUAAAGCAUUCCAUAUCAGCCUACUCUUUUUUAUAGUGUUAUACAUGUACAGGACGUUGUAUAUCAUAUUACACAAGAUAUUAAUUAGCCUACACUCUCUAUCAUAGUGUUAUACAUGUAUAGCACCCAGUUACUGUAAUGUCCACCCAUCUCUAGAAAUAAUUUUGAUAUGAAAUUUUGAGAUAGUAAAAUCUAACACACUGAAAUUGAUCCUAAUGUCAUAUGACUUCAGCUGCUUUGCAUUUAGCAGGUUGUCAUCACAAUAUUGUCUUCAGAAGCUGGCUUUAUUAAGGAGAGUAACCUAUGCUAGCGGGCAUCUGUCCCUCCCAUUUCAUGAGGAAACACCAUGUGGCAGGGCAUCUGUCCUUAGCAUUCCAUUCAGACAGGUGGAAAUCGCCUCCACUUCAUGAUCACAACAUGAAUCAACAGUGAAUAUCAUUCCAAAGUCAACCAGCUCAAUUUCCAACCACUGCCUGUCCCGUCUUUAUUUGCCUUUUGCCAAUAAUUACCCCCAUUCAGGAAUUUAUCAACAGGGAUUCAUUUUAAGAAUUUUUUUCUGCUUAGAGUCCACGAGCCGAUGGUAUCAAAUUCCUAUUUAAUUUCUUUAAAUUGAGAAACUAUUAACAUUUUGAUAAAGGUCCAUUUCAUUUUUAUGUUCAUAUGAGUUACAAAACACCACGGCAAAUGCCUGGUGUCACUAAGGAUUAUGUUUUAUUUAUUAAAUUUAUACAGAGCUUCUUCAAAAAGAUUGGGGACUUCUUUUCAUCAUUUUUUUUUUUUAAUUCAUGAUUAAAAAUUUGCAAGUUUGCAACCUUUGCUUUUCCUAAAGAAAUAUUAGAUUUUUUUUCUUUCAAAUAAUAUUUAAAAAUUGCAUGCAUGUCAUUUAGCAAAAUUAUAUUUCGAUUUAAGAUUCAUCUUUCAACAUUUGGGAGGGGGUGGGGGGGGGGGGCUGAAAAAUUAAUAUUUUCCAGAAUCAAUUUCUUGUUUUCUCUUAAUAUGAAGAUGCAAAUGUACAAUUUUAGAUACUUUUUAAAACUCUAAUAACAAAAGCUUUGUAAUUACUCAAAUUUCUACAAAAAUGAUUCAUAUUAAGUUCAGAGUUUCCAAAGAGCAUGCAAUAUAUUACUUAAAGGUAGGCCAUUGGAGUCACAUGACCAACUCCUAAGAGCACUACUUGCCAGCAGUAGAAAAUCCAUCAUAAAUUCUUUUAUGCAAUAUACCAAAGCCAGAGCUCAAAGACCACGACUUCUGAAAAUUAUUACUGCAUAGUGAUUUAAGAAUUUUACCAAAAAAUGUCUUCUGCUUUUUUUCCAUGACAGGGUCAGUGUAAUUCAAUUCAUCACCUGCCACUAAAACAUCCAAAUCUCUGCAGCACCACUUGAUCUUCCUAUUCCUAGGGGGGUGCAGCUGCAUUUGGUGCAGAGCAAUGAAAUUACCAUGUACAAGUGGACUUCAAAGCUUCAAAACUUACAAAGCUGUUUGUUGUUAUGUUUUACACAUCUGCCUCAUAAUUCAAUGCUCAGAAGUGCCUCAAAAUAUGUUUGUAGAGUUCUUCAUUAUUAAUCAAUUCAUCCCUAUAGAAAAGGUUCUAAAAAAAUCCGAGAGAGCUGAAUUCUUUUGAAAGCUAUGAAUUUCUAAGAAAAUUGUUACUAUGCCCACAAACAUUGUUCUUUCCUGUAACUUUUGUUUUUUAUCAUUAUUUAACAAUACUUCAUUCAAUAAAUAUAAAUGAGAUUGGAAAACAAGCCAUGGGAUUAUGUGAAUCUGUUCUCAUUCCAGGGUGUCUCCUGUAACCUUAUCUACCCGGCCAUCUGCUUUGGUUGUUUUUUUUUUACAAAAUUUCUUUUAAUGAUUUUAUUGUUUGGAUUUUUUAUUUGAACAGAAUGAAAUUGAAUUACAAUUCUAAUUUUUGAGAUCAUAUGUACAAAUGAAACUGUGUUAUAGACCGCCAAAGCCUGAAAGAGGCCUUGACGUUUUUGUGACCAUGCUGCGUCUGAAAGAAUGGCAUGUGUAUAUUUUUCAUAUUGGAGAAAAAAAUUAAAAUGCCUUAACUAUUACCCACCCAUGUGACAGGAAACAUACAUUAAGAAAAAUAUGAAAAUUUCAUUGACAAUCUCUUAAAUUUUCAAUGGUUAAUUUUGUAUGUCUUAUUACUAUUAAGUUUAUUUAGAUCAUCUCAAAAAUUAAAUAAAAUAAAUGUUCUUCAAAACUUAAGUCAACUUGUAAAUAUGUAUUCACAAACAAAAUGUUCUUUUCUAGCUACACAGAAAUGUGUGAGUGGUCCUCUGUUUCCAUGGGCCAUUCUUUUCUUCCAGUCAACAAUGUACAAGAAGGUUGUGAGAAGAUGGCAUAAGUUCAGGUAAUGGAGAAGAAGAAAUUAAGCUGUUAUUCAACUGUCUGUACCAUCAAAACUGUCAUUAAAAGCUUUCACAAAGAACAAGAUCUAUUGAACAGCUAUAUCAAAGUGCAUUCCAACUUCCAUUUACAUUUGCCAAAAA